CGGUUUCCGGCUGGCCUAACCAUGCGAGUCGAGCGGAUGAGUGGAGCUUGCUCCAUGAUUCAGCGGCGGACGGGUGAGUAAUGCCUAGGAAUCUGCCUGGUAGUGGGGGACAACGUUUCGAAAGGAACGCUAAUACCGCAUACGUCCUACGGGAGAAAGUGGGGGAUCUUCGGACCUCACGCUAUCAGAUGAGCCUAGGUCGGAUUAGCUAGUUGGUGAGGUAAAGGCUCACCAAGGCGACGAUCCGUAACUGGUCUGAGAGGAUGAUCAGUCACACUGGAACUGAGACACGGUCCAGACUCCUACGGGAGGCAGCAGUGGGGAAUAUUGGACAAUGGGCGAAAGCCUGAUCCAGCCAUGCCGCGUGUGUGAAGAAGGUCUUCGGAUUGUAAAGCACUUUAAGUUGGGAGGAAGGGCAGUAAGUUAAUACCUUGCUGUUUUGACGUUACCAACAGAAUAAGCACCGGCUAACUUCGUGCCAGCAGCCGCGGUAAUACGAAGGGUGCAAGCGUUAAUCGGAAUUACUGGGCGUAAAGCGCGCGUAGGUGGUUCGUUAAGUUGGAUGUGAAAGCCCCGGGCUCAACCUGGGAACUGCAUCCAAAACUGGCGAGCUAGAGUAUGGCAGAGGGUGGUGGAAUUUCCUGUGUAGCGGUGAAAUGCGUAGAUAUAGGAAGGAACACCAGUGGCGAAGGCGACCACCUGGGCUAAUACUGACACUGA
This 720-nucleotide ribosomal RNA is filed under the name uncultured Pseudomonas sp. Its description in RNAcentral is "bacterial SSU rRNA". It matches the Rfam family "Bacterial small subunit ribosomal RNA", at positions 34 to 749 of the family's 1533-position model. Lineage: Bacteria; Pseudomonadati; Pseudomonadota; Gammaproteobacteria; Pseudomonadales; Pseudomonadaceae. The record is from RNAcentral.